CUAGAAGAACAGGAUUUGAACCCGCACUAAAAAACUCAAAAUCUCUUGUACUCCUUAUACUAUCUCCUA
This 69-nucleotide transfer RNA is filed under the name Ophiodes striatus. Its description in RNAcentral is "tRNA-Gln". The record is from RNAcentral. Lineage: Eukaryota; Metazoa; Chordata; Lepidosauria; Squamata; Diploglossidae.